UGGGGGAUAUUGCACAAUGGGGGAAACCCUGAUGCAGCGACGCCGCGUGAAGGAUGAAGGUCUUCGGAUCGUAAACUUUUGUUUUCAGGGACGAUAAUGACGGUACCUGAAGAGGAAGCCACGGCUAACUACGUGCCAGCAGCCGCGGUAAUACGUAGGUGGCGAGCGGUGUCCGGAAUUACUGGGUGUAAAGGGUGCGGAGGCGGGUCUUCAAGUCAGUUGUGAAACCCAUGGGCUUAACCCAUGGCAUGCGACUGAAACUGGAGGUCUUGAGUGUCGGAGAGGUAAGUGGAAUUCCUAGUGUAGCGGUGGAAUGCGUAGAUAUUAGGAGGAACACCAGUGGCGAAGGCGACUUACUGGACGAUAACUGACGCUGAUGCACGAAAGCGUGGGGAGCAAACAGG
RNAcentral lists this ribosomal RNA (404 nucleotides) under uncultured prokaryote. RNAcentral's name for it is "bacterial SSU rRNA". It matches the Rfam family "Bacterial small subunit ribosomal RNA", at positions 355 to 776 of the family's 1533-position model. The record is from RNAcentral. RNAcentral also lists the same sequence under 1 other name.